GGGGAAUCUUGCGCAAUGGGCGAAAGCCUGACGCAGCGAUGCCGCGUGCGGGAUGAAGGCCCUCGGGUUGUAAACCGCUUUCAGCAGGGACGAAAUUGACGGUACCUGCAGAAGAAGCCCCGGCCAACUACGUGCCAGCAGCCGCGGUAAUACGUAGGGGGCGAGCGUUGUCCGGAUUUAUUGGGCGUAAAGAGCUCGUAGGCGGUUUGGUAAGUCGGGUGUGAAAUCUCCAGGCUCAACCUGGAGAGGUCACCCGAGACUGCCAUGACUAGAGUCCGGUAGGGGUGUGUGGAAUUCCUGGUGGAGCGGUGAAAUGCGCAGAUAUCAGGAGGAACACCCGUAGCGAAGGCGGCACACUGGGCCGGUACUGACGCUGAGGAGCGAAAGCGUGGGGAGCAAA
This 400-nucleotide ribosomal RNA is filed under the name uncultured bacterium. Its description in RNAcentral is "bacterial SSU rRNA". It matches the Rfam family "Bacterial small subunit ribosomal RNA", at positions 356 to 772 of the family's 1533-position model. The record is from RNAcentral.